AUUGAACGCUGGCGGCAUGCCUUACACAUGCAAGUCGAACGGUAACAGGUUAAGCUGACGAGUGGCGAACGGGUGAGUAAUGUAUCGGAACGUGCCCAGUCGUGGGGGAUAACUGCUCGAAAGAGCAGCUAAUACCGCAUACGACCUGAGGGUGAAAGCGGGGGAUCGCAAGACCUCGCGCGAUUGGAGCGGCCGAUAUCAGAUUAGGUAGUUGGUGAGGUAAAGGCUCACCAAGCCGACGAUCUGUAGCUGGUCUGAGAGGGCGACCAGCCACACUGGGACUGAGACACGGCCCAGACUCCUACGGGAGGCAGCAGUGGGGAAUUUUGGACAAUGGGCGCAAGCCUGAUCCAGCCAUGCCGCGUGCGGGAAGAAGGCCUUCGGGUUGUAAACCGCUUUUGUCAGGGAAGAAAAGGUUCUGGCUAAUACCUGGGACUCAUGACAGUACCUGAAGAAUAAGCACCGGCUAACUACGUG
Molecule: ribosomal RNA, 477 nt
Filed under: uncultured bacterium
Lineage: Bacteria
Description: partial 16S ribosomal RNA
Rfam family: Bacterial small subunit ribosomal RNA
Source: RNAcentral